Molecule: ribosomal RNA, 2897 nt
Filed under: Klebsiella pneumoniae
Lineage: Bacteria; Pseudomonadati; Pseudomonadota; Gammaproteobacteria; Enterobacterales; Enterobacteriaceae
Description: bacterial LSU rRNA
Rfam family: Bacterial large subunit ribosomal RNA
Source: RNAcentral
UUAAGCGACUAAGCGUACACGGUGGAUGCCCUGGCAGUCAGAGGCGAUGAAGGACGUGCUAAUCUGCGAAAAGCGUCGGUAAGGUGAUAUGAACCGUUAUAACCGGCGAUGUCCGAAUGGGGAAACCCAGUGUGAUUCGUCACACUAUCGUUAACUGAAUACAUAGGUUAACGAGGCGAACCGGGGGAACUGAAACAUCUAAGUACCCCGAGGAAAAGAAAUCAACCGAGAUUCCCCCAGUAGCGGCGAGCGAACGGGGAGCAGCCCAGAGUCUGAAUCAGCUUGUGUGUUAGUGGAACGGUCUGGAAAGUCCGACGGUACAGGGUGAUAGUCCCGUACACCAAAAUGCACAGGCUGUGAACUCGAAGAGUAGGGCGGGACACGUGGUAUCCUGUCUGAAUAUGGGGGGACCAUCCUCCAAGGCUAAAUACUCCUGACUGACCGAUAGUGAACCAGUACCGUGAGGGAAAGGCGAAAAGAACCCCGGCGAGGGGAGUGAAAAAGAACCUGAAACCGUGUACGUACAAGCAGUGGGAGCACCUUCGGGUGUGACUGCGUACCUUUUGUAUAAUGGGUCAGCGACUUAUAUUCUGUAGCAAGGUUAACCGUAUAGGGGAGCCGCAGGGAAACCGAGUCUUAACUGGGCGUUAAGUUGCAGGGUAUAGACCCGAAACCCGGUGAUCUAGCCAUGGGCAGGUUGAAGGUUGGGUAACACUAACUGGAGGACCGAACCGACUAAUGUUGAAAAAUUAGCGGAUGACUUGUGGCUGGGGGUGAAAGGCCAAUCAAACCGGGAGAUAGCUGGUUCUCCCCGAAAGCUAUUUAGGUAGCGCCUCGUGAACUCAUCUUCGGGGGUAGAGCACUGUUUCGGCUAGGGGGUCAUCCCGACUUACCAACCCGAUGCAAACUACGAAUACCGAAGAAUGUUAUCACGGGAGACACACGGCGGGUGCUAACGUCCGUCGUGAAGAGGGAAACAACCCAGACCGCCAGCUAAGGUCCCAAAGUCAUGGUUAAGUGGGAAACGAUGUGGGAAGGCACAGACAGCCAGGAUGUUGGCUUAGAAGCAGCCAUCAUUUAAAGAAAGCGUAAUAGCUCACUGGUCGAGUCGGCCUGCGCGGAAGAUGUAACGGGGCUAAACCAUGCACCGAAGCUGCGGCAGCGACACUAUGUGUUGUUGGGUAGGGGAGCGUUCUGUAAGCCUGCGAAGGUGACCUGUGAGGGUUGCUGGAGGUAUCAGAAGUGCGAAUGCUGACAUAAGUAACGAUAAAGCGGGUGAAAAGCCCGCUCGCCGGAAGACCAAGGGUUCCUGUCCAACGUUAAUCGGGGCAGGGUGAGUCGACCCCUAAGGCGAGGCCGAAAGGCGUAGUCGAUGGGAAACAGGUUAAUAUUCCUGUACUUGGUGUUACUGCGAAGGGGGGACGGAGAAGGCUAUGUUAGCCGGGCGACGGUUGUCCCGGUUUAAGCAUGUAGGCUGGUUAUCCAGGCAAAUCCGGAUAAUCAAGGCUGAGGUGUGAUGACGAGGCACUACGGUGCUGAAGUAACAAAUGCCCUGCUUCCAGGAAAAGCCUCUAAGCAUCAGGUAACAUCAAAUCGUACCCCAAACCGACACAGGUGGUCAGGUAGAGAAUACCAAGGCGCUUGAGAGAACUCGGGUGAAGGAACUAGGCAAAAUGGUGCCGUAACUUCGGGAGAAGGCACGCUGGUGUGUAGGUGAAGCCCCUGCGGGUGGAGCUGAGACCAGUCGAAGAUACCAGCUGGCUGCAACUGUUUAUUAAAAACACAGCACUGUGCAAACACGAAAGUGGACGUAUACGGUGUGACGCCUGCCCGGUGCCGGAAGGUUAAUUGAUGGGGUUAUCCGUAAGGAGAAGCUCUUGAUCGAAGCCCCGGUAAACGGCGGCCGUAACUAUAACGGUCCUAAGGUAGCGAAAUUCCUUGUCGGGUAAGUUCCGACCUGCACGAAUGGCGUAAUGAUGGCCAGGCUGUCUCCACCCGAGACUCAGUGAAAUUGAACUCGCUGUGAAGAUGCAGUGUACCCGCGGCAAGACGGAAAGACCCCGUGAACCUUUACUAUAGCUUGACACUGAACAUUGAGCCUUGAUGUGUAGGAUAGGUGGGAGGCUUUGAAGCGUGGACGCCAGUCUGCGUGGAGCCAACCUUGAAAUACCACCCUUUAAUGUUUGAUGUUCUAACGUUGGCCCUUACCGGGGUUGCGGACAGUGUCUGGUGGGUAGUUUGACUGGGGCGGUCUCCUCCCAAAGCGUAACGGAGGAGCACGAAGGUUAGCUAAUCUGGUCGGACAUCAGGAGGUUAGUGCAAUGGCAUAAGCUAGCUUGACUGCGAGCGUGACGGCGCGAGCAGGUGCGAAAGCAGGUCAUAGUGAUCCGGUGGUUCUGAAUGGAAGGGCCAUCGCUCAACGGAUAAAAGGUACUCCGGGGAUAACAGGCUGAUACCGCCCAAGAGUUCAUAUCGACGGCGGUGUUUGGCACCUCGAUGUCGGCUCAUCACAUCCUGGGGCUGAAGUAGGUCCCAAGGGUAUGGCUGUUCGCCAUUUAAAGUGGUACGCGAGCUGGGUUUAGAACGUCGUGAGACAGUUCGGUCCCUAUCUGCCGUGGGCGCUGGAGAAUUGAGGGGGGCUGCUCCUAGUACGAGAGGACCGGAGUGGACGCAUCACUGGUGUUCGGGUUGUCAUGCCAAUGGCACUGCCCGGUAGCUAAAUGCGGAAGAGAUAAGUGCUGAAAGCAUCUAAGCACGAAACUUGCCCCGAGAUGAGUUCUCCCUGAGACUUUAAGUCUCCUGAAGGAACGUUGAAGACGACGACGUUGAUAGGCCGGGUGUGUAAGCGCAGCGAUGCGUUGAGCUAACCGGUACUAAUGAACCGUGAGGCUUAACCU